RNAcentral lists this small RNA (2571 nucleotides) under Pan troglodytes (chimpanzee). Its description in RNAcentral is "retained intron". Lineage: Eukaryota; Metazoa; Chordata; Mammalia; Primates; Hominidae. The record is from RNAcentral.
CUCUCCUGCGCCCUCUGGAGGAAGUGAGAAGAGUCAGUCCCACCCAGCUGCCGCCUGGUAUCUGGGCUCCAGGCCACCGGAGUAUUUGGCCCCCAGCCACUGAGCCCUUAGCACACACCUCCCCCACAGGUCCUGGAGAUGUGGCUGAGCUACCUGCAGCCGUGGCGGUACGCGCCUGACAAGCAGGCUCCGGGCAGCGACUCCCAGCCCCGGUGUGUGUCGGAGAAAUGGGCGCCCUUUGUCCAGGAGAACCUGCUGAUGUACACCAAGUUGUUUGUGGGCUUCCUGAACCGCGCGCUCCGCACAGACCUGGUCAGCCCCAAGCACGCGCUCAUGGUGUUCCGAGUGGCCAAAGUCUUUGCCCAGCCCAACCUGGCUGAGAUGAUUCAGAAAGGUGAGCAGCUAUUCCUGGAGCCAGAGCUGGUCAUCCCCCACCGCCAGCACCGACUCUUCACGGCCCCCACAUUCACUGGGAGCUUCCUGUCACCCUGGCCACCAGCGGUCACUGAUGCCUCCUUCAAGGUGAAGAGCCACGUCUACAGCCUGGAGGGCCAGGACUGCAAGUACACCCCGAUGUUUGGGCCCGAGGCCCGCACCCUGGUCCUGCGCCUCGCUCAGCUCAUCACACAGGCCAAACACACAGCCAAGUCCAUCUCCGACCAGUGUGCGGAGAGCCCGGCUGGCCACUCCUUCCUCUCAUGGCUGGGCUUUAGCUCCAUGGACACCAACGGCUCCUACACAGCCAACGACCUGGACGAGAUGGGGCAAGACAGCGUCCGGAAGACAGAUGAAUACCUGGAGAAGGCCCUGGAGUACCUGCGCCAGAUAUUCCGGCUCAGCGAAGCGCAGCUUAGGCAGUUCACACUCGCCUUGGGCACCACCCAGGAUGAGAAUGGAAAAAAGCAGCUGCUUGACUGCAUCGUGGGUGAGAACGGACUCAUCCUUACGCCCCUGGGGCGGUACCAGAUCAUCAGUGGGCUGCGAAGGUUUGAAAUUGAGUACCAGGGGGAUCCGGAACUGCAGCCCAUCCAGAGCUAUGAGAUCGCCAGCUUGGUCCGCACACUCUUCAGGCUGUCGUCUGCCAUCAACCACAGAUUUGCAGGACAGAUGGCGGCUCUGUGUUCCCGGGAUGACUUCCUCGGCAGCUUCUGUCGCUACCACCUCACAGAACCUGGGCUGGCCAGCAGGCACCUGCUGAGCCCUGUGGGGCGGAGGCAGGUGGCCGGCCACACCCGCGGCCCCAGGCUCAGCCUGCGCUUCCUGGGCAGUUACCGGACGCUGGUCUCGCUGCUGCUGGCCUUCUUCGUGGCCUCUCUGUUCUGCGUCGGGCCCCUCCCAUGCACGCUGCUGCUCACCCUGGGCUACGUCCUCUACGCCUCUGCCAUGCCACUGCUGACCGAGCAGGGGAAACUGCACCAGCCCUGAAGGUGUCAGCUGCCUUCAGAGCAGGCUGGAGGGAUUUGCCACACAGCCCCACCCUUGGGCUGAGAGGACCUGGGAAGCCCCUCCAGGAGGGAACACGGUCAUCCUCGGGCUUCUGGAGCGGGGUUCCUGCAGCCACAGAGGCAUCUGGAGGAAACGCAACCAAGAAGGGAAGGCAGGUGGGCCCCAGCAAAGGAGUGGCUACCAGGGCUCAACAGCCACGCUCUGUGACAGUGCAGAGCUCAGCGCCGGCCUUUCCCUCCCUCCGCCAAGGACUCAUGCCCAAGCCAGCUCUCGGGGCCUUUUUUCCAGUGCCCAUUUGGCUACUCUGCUGCACCAAGCUUGGGAGCCAGCCUGCCAACACCCGCCUGGGCCUGGCCUCCCCACUGGCUGGCCUUGAGGUGGGCAGAGUGGGUUGUGGCGCCUCCUCUCUCUGUGUGGGACCAGGACGGUGGCUCAAGUCUCCACUCCAGGAAAGAAUCAAAGUUUCUAGAGUUGUGAGAAAACUAGAGAGUGGCUGUCCUGAUUCUUCACCGUGAGGGGCGUUCUUCGUGUUCUCCCAGCUGUUCCAAGACUGGGCCGUAGAAUUCCAUGUUUCAGGAGCCUAAGACCCUCCCAGAGCCCAGGUGCUUCACCACAGACCCCAAGCCAUUAAGCACAUCACCCAAAGCAGUGGCCAACAUCGCGGACCCCUGUGCCUUGUCACAGAUGGGUGCUGGUCCUCAGGCGUUGGGGACACUGCUGGGUCGAUGGGGUCGGAUUCUGCCAGUUUCUGCUCUGCAGCCAAAGAUGGUCAGAAGCAUUGUCACUUCAGUAACAUCAAGUGCUCAAAGACAUGGCAACCGUUCAGUGGUACUUAAGUAUUCAAAAUAUACAACUACAGAUUCUCUGACAGAAACCAGCACGGGGUCUUCACCUUCAUUCACCCCACAGACGACCUGCGAGGGAGAACAGCAUCUCAGUGGUGAUUUCCAAACCAAGCCUUUGUUUUCGGUGUGGGGUUUUGGGGGUUUGCUUUAAUGUUUUUAAAAUUGUAAAUGUUGGGCUUUGUAUUUUGAUGUAAACUGAGAAUAAUGGCAUUUUAGGGCCUGUGACCAAAAAUCAAGCUUGUAACGACCAUGGAUCUGAAUAAACCUGUCCUUGCUUCUG